This is a non-coding RNA of Paramisgurnus dabryanus, 1378 nucleotides long. Lineage: Eukaryota; Metazoa; Chordata; Actinopteri; Cypriniformes; Cobitidae. The record is from RefSeq and is a predicted model, not a curated record.
UCUGGUGGCGUAUAUAUGCGUUGCACCAUAAGCGAAGAUGAGCUUGUUGGGUUAUAUGUUGGGUAAUUUUGAAGCAGAGCCAGCUUAAUAGAUACAUAGCUGUUUCUCAAUAUUACUUUCUCUAGUCCACAAAAUGUAUUUUAAACAUAAGUUCAGGCGAGAAUAUAUAUGUAUAAUGUUCAAAUUUGCAGUCGGUUUGUAAAGUGAACGCCAAUUUUAAAGUUUAAUUACACAAAGUCGGAAUGUUACCGGCGUGACCACCGGGUGUCAGUGUUGUUCUUCCCCAGAGAGAACUCCUCCCAUCCCCCCACACAGACGCGUCAUCUCAGCUGAACUCCUGGCUCUCACUGCAAGGAUACUUGACGCGGGAGUUUACCUCAGGAUUCAUGAACAGUUUUUCAUCGACUUAUUUCUGAUUUAUUUGAAGGAAAAGACCCUGAUGGAUAAAAGAUGGAUAUUUUUUCCUGGAGAAGCUAAAACAAUGUAACUUUGAGGUUCUGAUACCAGCUUUUAAAAAGUUAUUUACAGAGUUCACCAGACUUCUCUGUGUUAUUUCCUGACCAUGCCGAAAAGCUAUUUGAAACUUGGGCAUUGCAUUUUCCAGACAGAAUCCUGCACUUCCCAGCCAAGAACCAGGAGCAUCAACAAAUCACCUCCAGAACCCCAUGAUGAUAUUCCAACUCCUGUCUACAAAAGUGGGAAGAAAAUCUUAAGUCUAUGUUGGGACCAACAUGGUUGCAUUCUUCUGAGAGGCUGAUGUGACAAAACCAUUCCCAUUUGUCCUUGGAUUGGAAGAUGGCGAUCUCUGCCAUCAAGCCUUCGUUGUUUUUGACAGACAGUCACUCCAGCAAUACACCCUCCUUGGUGAUGUUGACAUGUUUUAAACUUUUUUUUUAUGUUUUGGACAUGAAUUUUACUAAGCAGUGCACAUCAGUGUGGGUGUUUUUGAAGACUGUUGUUUACAAACUCCCAAGAACGGAAUCCCUUUCUAUAAGAAGUCUGUGUAGUUAUUUGUCAUGCUAAGGUGAUAACUCAUGUUGAUCAUAUAUUGACUGUUUGUGCAACUUUGUGUUGAUCUUAUGUGUUACAUUAACCAUUUCUUAUUACACGGUUCUCUAAAAUGCUAGAUUCUGAUUGGCCAGUCGUGACAUUCUACUACUGCUCAAAACUAAAAACUCCAAUGCUGCAAAUCAUUUUGGCAGGUACAGUUUUAUAUUACACAAAAAUUAAAUAUCAAUGUCUAUUAAUUACAUAUCCGACAUUAAAUUUAUAAAUGAUUAAAUGUGUUCGUGACCUUUGUCCUGAAGAAACUGUUGGGGCUUUUUUCUGUGAUGACAUGCUGCCAAUACAUUAUCCCUUACUUGUACAACUUUUUACU